This 35-nucleotide ribosomal RNA is filed under the name Macowanites sp. Its description in RNAcentral is "partial 18S ribosomal RNA". Lineage: Eukaryota; Fungi; Basidiomycota; Agaricomycetes; Russulales; Russulaceae. The record is from RNAcentral.
AAUAUCGUUCGUAGUGACCUGCGGAAGGAUCAUUA